This 497-nucleotide ribosomal RNA is filed under the name uncultured bacterium. RNAcentral's name for it is "partial 16S ribosomal RNA". It matches the Rfam family "Bacterial small subunit ribosomal RNA", at positions 28 to 507 of the family's 1533-position model. The record is from RNAcentral.
GACGAACGCUGGCGGCGUGCCUAAUACAUGCAAGUUGAGCGAUGAAGAUUGGUGCUUGCUCCAAUUUGAAGAGCAGAGAAUGGGUGAGUAACGCGUGGGGAAUCUGUCUUUGAGCGGGGGACAACAUUUGGAAACGAAUGCUAAUACCGCAUAACAACUUUAAACAUAAGUUUUAAGUUUGAAAGAUGCAAUUGCAUCACUCAAAGAUGAUCCCGCGUUGUAUUAGCUAGUUGGUGAGGUAAAGGCUCACCAAGGCGAUGAUACAUAGCCGACCUGAGAGGGGGGUCGGCCACAUUGGGACUGAGACAAGGCCCAAAAUCCUACGGGAGGAAGCAGUAGGGAAACUUAGGCAAGGGACGAAAGGCUGAACGAGCAACGCCGCGGGGGUGAAGAAGGGUUUCGGAUCGGAAAACUCUGUUGGUAGAGAAGAACGUUGGUGGGAGUGGAAAGCUCAUCAAGUGACGGUAACUACCCAGAAAGGGACGGCUAACUACGUG